CGGAGGAUCCGAGCGUUAUCGGAUUUAUUGAGUUUAAAGGGUGCGUAGGCGGCCUGUUAAGUCAGGGGUGAAAGACGGUAGCUCAACUAUCGCAGUGCCCUUGAUACUGAUGGGCUUGAAUGUACUAGAGGUAGGCGGAAUGUGACAAGUAGCGGUGAAAUGCAUAGAUAUGUCACAGAACACCAAUUGCGAAGGCAGCUUACUAUGGUAUUAUUGACGCUGAGGCACGAAAGCGUGGGGAUCAAACAGGAUUAGAUACCCUGGUAGUCCACGCCCUAAACGAUGAAUACUCGAUGUUAGCGAUAUACAGUUAGCGUCAAAGCGAAAGCGUUAAGUAUUCCACCUGGGGAGUACGCCCGCAAGGGUG
Molecule: ribosomal RNA, 367 nt
Filed under: uncultured organism
Description: bacterial SSU rRNA
Rfam family: Bacterial small subunit ribosomal RNA
Source: RNAcentral